UACGGAGGGGGCUAGCGUUGUUCGGAAUGACUGGGCGUAAAGCGCGCGUAGGCGGGCUGGAAAGUCAGGGGUGAAAUCCCGGGGCUCAACCCUGGAAUUGCCUUUGAGACUCCCAGCCUUGAGUUCGAGAGAGGUGAGUGGAAUUCCGAGUGUAGAGGUGAAAUUCGUAGAUAUUCAGAGGAACACCAGUGGCGAAGGCGGCUCACUGGCUCGACACUGACGCUGAGGUGCGAAAGCGUGGGGAGUAAACAGG
This 253-nucleotide ribosomal RNA is filed under the name uncultured bacterium. Its description in RNAcentral is "partial 16S ribosomal RNA". It matches the Rfam family "Bacterial small subunit ribosomal RNA", at positions 524 to 776 of the family's 1533-position model. The record is from RNAcentral.